This 279-nucleotide ribosomal RNA is filed under the name uncultured bacterium. RNAcentral describes it as "partial 16S ribosomal RNA". It matches the Rfam family "Bacterial small subunit ribosomal RNA", at positions 506 to 784 of the family's 1533-position model. The record is from RNAcentral.
UGCCAGCCGCCGCGGUAAUACUGGUUGUGCAAACGUUGCUCGGAAUUACUGGGCGUAAAGCGUGCGUAGGCGGAUCGACAAGUUGGGGGUGAAAUCCCGGGGCUUAACCCCGGAACUGCCCUCAAAACUGUCGAUCUAGAGACCGGGAGAGGUAAGCGGAAUUCCUAGUGUAGAGGUGAAAUUCGUAGAUAUCAGGAGGAACACCGAUGGCGAAGGCGGCUUUCUGGACCGAUACUGACGCUGAGACGCGAAAGCGUGGGGAGCAAACAGGAUUAGAUA